RNAcentral lists this ribosomal RNA (764 nucleotides) under Vibrio parahaemolyticus. RNAcentral's name for it is "partial 23S ribosomal RNA". It matches the Rfam family "Bacterial large subunit ribosomal RNA", at positions 100 to 919 of the family's 2925-position model. The record is from RNAcentral. Lineage: Bacteria; Pseudomonadati; Pseudomonadota; Gammaproteobacteria; Vibrionales; Vibrionaceae.
UGAGUCUGGGAUUUCUGAAUGGGGAAACCCACUUACAUAAGUAAGUAUCAUUAACUGAAUACAUAGGUUAAUGAGGCGAACCGGGGGAACUGAAACAUCUAAGUACCCCGAGGAAAAGAAAUCAACCGAGAUUCCGAAAGUAGCGGCGAGCGAAAUUGGACUAGCCCUUAAGCUUUACACGCGUUAGACGAACGGUCUGGAAAGUCCGACGAUACAGGGUGAUAGUCCCGUAGUUGACGACGUGUGUUCAGUGAAAUCGAGUAGGGCGGGACACGUGAUAUCCUGUCUGAAUAUGGGGGGACCAUCCUCCAAGGCUAAAUACUACUGACUGACCGAUAGUGAACCAGUACCGUGAGGGAAAGGCGAAAAGAACCCCUGUGAGGGGAGUGAAAUAGAACCUGAAACCGUGUACGUACAAGCAGUAGGAGCAGGCUUGUCCUGUGACUGCGUACCUUUUGUAUAAUGGGUCAGCGACUUAUAUUCAGUGGCAAGGUUAACCAUCUAGGGGAGCCGUAGGGAAACCGAGUCUUAACUGGGCGUUCAGUCUCUGGAUAUAGACCCGAAACCAGGUGAUCUAGCCAUGGGCAGGUUGAAGGUUGAGUAACAUCAACUGGAGGACCGAACCGACUAAUGUUGAAAAAUUAGCGGAUGACUUGUGGCUAGGGGUGAAAGGCCAAUCAAACCUGGAGAUAGCUGGUUCUCCCCGAAAGCUAUUUAGGUAGCGCCUCGGACGAAUACUACUGGGGGUAGAGCACUGUUAAGGC